CAAGGCUCGCCCAGUUGGGUCUGCUCUCUCAGGGAGAGUAAGUGUUUGGGGGGAGUUAGAGAAUGCAGAAGGCACUGGAGACAGGACGAGCUUAAACCUCAUUAGGAGAGAAAAAGUCUGUCAGGAAAAGGUAAACUGCGUCUCUCCAGAGAUUCACAGGCAUUAGGUUGGUCUCUAACUCCUGAACUCAAGGGAUCUUUCUGCCUCGGCCUCUGAGUGCGCUAGAUUAUAGGCAUAAGCCACAUGCUUGGGCAAGGUUAGGACUUUCUAUGCCUUGUUUUUAAAAAAAG
Long non-coding RNA from Nycticebus coucang (slow loris), 290 nucleotides. RefSeq lists it as uncharacterized. The transcript has 3 exons. The record is from RefSeq and is a predicted model, not a curated record. Lineage: Eukaryota; Metazoa; Chordata; Mammalia; Primates; Lorisidae.